UACGAAGGGGGCUAGCGUUGUUCGGAAUUACUGGGCGUAAAGCGCACGUAGGCGGAUAUCUAAGUCAGGGGUGAAAUCCCGGGGCUCAACCCCGGAACUGCCUUUGAUACUGGGUAUCUCGAGUCCGAGAGAGGUGAGUGGAAUUCCGAGUGUAGAGGUGAAAUUCGUAGAUAUUCGGAGGAACACCAGUGGCGAAGGCGGCUCACUGGCUCGGUACUGACGCUGAGGUGCGAAAGCGUGGGGAGCAAACAGG
Molecule: ribosomal RNA, 253 nt
Filed under: uncultured bacterium
Lineage: Bacteria
Description: partial 16S ribosomal RNA
Rfam family: Bacterial small subunit ribosomal RNA
Source: RNAcentral